CAGUAGCCGCGGGAAUACGAAGGGUGCAAGCGUUAAUCGGAAUUACUGGGCGUAAAGCGUGCGUAGGCGGUGAGUUAAGUCUGCUGUGAAAGCCCUGGGCUCAACCUGGGAACUGCAGUGGAAACUGGCCAGCUAGAGUGUGUCAGAGGAUGGUGGAAUUCCGAGUGUAGAGGUGAAAUUCGUAGAUAUUCGGAAGAACACCAGUGGCGAAGGCGGCUUACUGGCUCAUACUGGACGCUGAGGUGCGAAAGCGUGGGGAGCAAACAGGAUUAGAUACCCCUGUAGUCCCUGUCUCUUAUAA
This 301-nucleotide ribosomal RNA is filed under the name uncultured bacterium. RNAcentral describes it as "partial 16S ribosomal RNA". It matches the Rfam family "Bacterial small subunit ribosomal RNA", at positions 509 to 809 of the family's 1533-position model. The record is from RNAcentral.